This 242-nucleotide long non-coding RNA is filed under the name Elaeis guineensis (African oil palm). RNAcentral's name for it is "long non-coding RNA (EGUI_LNC054390)". The record is from RNAcentral. Lineage: Eukaryota; Viridiplantae; Streptophyta; Magnoliopsida; Arecales; Arecaceae.
GUGUUGCUUCUUUCAAUCGGUGUUGUUGGUCUACGCCGUGCAGCGAGCCACUGUUGCCGAUGGCAUUAGUGUCAGGGAAGUUCCAACCCAGUUGUGAAAAGGCUUGAUGUACCCAGUGGUGCCCCUCGGCACUAUUAAUGUUAUUUCCCGGCCCAAUUAGGCCUUAAACCCAGCCCACAAAGCCCGAAAAAAAAAUAGGGGAAGAAGACUCCCGAUCGGAGUCUUCUCCUUCCUUGAUUUUG